This is a non-coding RNA of Cricetulus griseus (Chinese hamster), 1512 nucleotides long. NCBI's taxonomy places the organism in Eukaryota, Metazoa, Chordata, Mammalia, Rodentia, Cricetidae. The record is from RefSeq and is a predicted model, not a curated record.
ACUGAAGGCAACAUGUGGUGGCAAGGGGUCACAGAGGUGUCCUUGCCCUCUCUGUCAGUCCUCCAGCCCAUCCAUAUUCACCCUGGGGUGUGGAGGACUGACAGCUACCCUGGCUUAGAGGGUCCCUGCCUCAGGGAGAUGACUGUCCAAGAGAGCCACACCAGGAUGGAGGACACACCUAUGAAUGUCACCCAGGUCUCUCAGCUGCCUACAGAUAAAUAACACUGUUCCCUAAGACUAUACAAUCCAGGACGUCCACACCUGUCACACACACACACCCCUGCCAGGCCAGCUUGGGCGAUGCCCACUCAUCUAUGGCAGAACCCAAAGAGCUAUAAUCACAACCCCUCUAACUGAGGCUGCCAUGGCAGGAAGCUUUAUAAUGGGUAUUUGCAUUUUCAGGCUAUGCCAAAGUGCCAAGCACUGCUCAUCACAGAGAGGGGACACAGGGCUGCCUAGCCAUGUACAGGUGUGCACAGGUGGAAGUGAACACAUGCUGUGAGGACCCCACGGUGUGCACCUCACCUGCAUACUUUGGCUGCAGGUAGAAGAGGCGAGCGAAGGACAGUCUUUGCAUCUCCCCUGGGGACAGGACAUCAUACCUGGGAAAAGCAAUGACAGUGAGUCCUUAUCCUUACAGGAAGUGACAGGGUCACUUUUGCCAAGGAAAGGCCUUGAAAGAAGGAAGUUUCCUGCAGAGGUUGCCUCUAGGACAGAGGCUUUCCUACUUAGCCACAAGAUAGGGCUCCUGGGACCCACUGUCUUCAUGGAGGAGCUGCCUGAAAGAGCUCAUCCUUACCAGUUCCAAUCCACCUGCUGGUCCAGACCGCCUGUCCUUGCCACCAAGCUGGACUGUAACAGAGAGAGGACAUAAAGUCCACACAAAGCCAGCCCUGUUUUCUGCAAUCCUAGCUUCCCACCACAAGUGUCUGUGAGAUGGACUCUGCACUGGCAAACCAAGGAACAGCACCCCGUGGGGCCCAAAAUCAGCCAGCAUCUGCACUGAGCCUGCAGAGCCCACAGAAGCCUCCAUUGGGAGACCUCGCAGAGAAGGUAACCUUUUCUCUCAUCUCACCCACUUUCCACCCCACUGCCCACCAGGGGUCAAGGCUGCAUGGGAGGCUGGGAGGACCGGCUCACCUUUCAUGCUCUCCCACAGGCCUCCCAGCACCCGCAGCAGGGAGGUCUUGCCAGUGCCUGUGUUGCCUGUGAUGAGCAGACUCUGCCCUUCACAGACCUUCAGGCUCAGGUCCUUGAUCAGUGGCUUAUCAGAGGAGGGGGCAACGAUGGAAACCCGAUCCAGCAGAAAAGCUGUGUCUGAUGGCUCUGCGAUUGGCCACCCUGAGGCCCUAGGGCAGAGAAGGGACAUGGAAAUACAGGCCAUGUGAAUGGUACAAUGGAGGUGCUUGGCCUAGAGGCAUUACCUUUGUUACUCUGACUUUCAAUCCCCAUGCCUCAGGGUGUAAAAGCAUUUGAGGAUGGGUGAUAUUAAAACGAGACUGUUAAAGAGUG